CAGUUUUCUUGUGAUGAUCUAAUGAAGUUCCACCCAGUUGUACAUUAAAAUGGGAGCGGCCUGCGUCGCAGGGAGAGAGUGGAAGGCGAACAGUAUUCUCAUUCAAGACUUCAGCAGAGGCUUUCCUUGUAUUUUCUUCAAAUAAUUUGGGAAAGUGCUCCUAAUACAAACUUCUGGAGGCUGAAGAAAGCUCGGCUUCUGAAUAAUACUGAUGCAUCAUGGGAAAUGUUGCACACAGGAUGAUCUGCCAUUAGUUAAUAUUUCACAGACCUGGACGAAAAUAUCAAGUCCAAGCCUAGGCAAGAGGCAGACAGCUUCAAGUAAAAACUUUAAUGAAUGUAUUAAACCACAUAAAUAAAAUUUAAUGGAUAAAGUUA
Carcharodon carcharias (great white shark) is the source of this 377-nucleotide long non-coding RNA. RefSeq lists it as uncharacterized. Lineage: Eukaryota; Metazoa; Chordata; Chondrichthyes; Lamniformes; Lamnidae. The transcript is spliced from 2 exons. The record is from RefSeq and is a predicted model, not a curated record.